GAUGAACGCUGACAGAAUGCUUAACACAUGCAAGUCAACUUGAAUUUGGGUUUUUAACUUAGAUUUGGGUGGCGGACGGGUGAGUAACGCGUAAAGAACUUGCCUCACAGCUAGGGACAACAUUUAGAAAUGAAUGCUAAUACCUGAUAUUAUGAUUUUAAGGCAUCUUAGAAUUAUGAAAGCUAUAAGCACUGUGAGAGAGCUUUGCGUCCCAUUAGCUAGUUGGAGAGGUAACAGCUCACCAAGGCGAUGAUGGGUAGCCGGUCUGAGAGGAUGAACGGCCACAAGGGGACUGAGACACGGCCCUUACUCCUACGGGAGGCAGCAGUGGGGAAUAUUGGACAAUGGACCGAGAGUCUGAUCCAGCAAUUCUGUGUGCACGAUGAAGUUUUUCGGAAUGUAAAGUGCUUUCAGUUGGGAAGAAAAAAAUGACGGUACCAACAGAAGAAGUGACGGCUAAAUACGUGCCAGCAGCCGCGGUAAUACGUAUGUCACGAGCGUUAUCCGGAUUUAUUGGGCGUAAAGCGCGUCUAGGUGGUUAUGUAAGUCUGAUGUGAAAAUGCAGGGCUCAACUCUGUAUUGCGUUGGAAACUGUAUAACUAGAGUACUGGAGAGGUAAGCGGAACUACAAGUGUAGAGGUGAAAUUCGUAGAUAUUUGUAGGAAUGCCGAUGGGGAAGCCAGCUUACUGGACAGAUACUGACGCUAAAGCGCGAAAGCGUGGGUAGCAAACAGG
Molecule: ribosomal RNA, 735 nt
Filed under: uncultured Fusobacterium sp.
Lineage: Bacteria; Fusobacteriati; Fusobacteriota; Fusobacteriia; Fusobacteriales; Fusobacteriaceae
Description: bacterial SSU rRNA
Rfam family: Bacterial small subunit ribosomal RNA
Source: RNAcentral